Prionailurus viverrinus (fishing cat) is the source of this 632-nucleotide long non-coding RNA. RefSeq lists it as uncharacterized. Lineage: Eukaryota; Metazoa; Chordata; Mammalia; Carnivora; Felidae. The transcript is spliced from 3 exons. The record is from RefSeq and is a predicted model, not a curated record.
GAUAACCCAGUGAGAUAGUCCUUGUGAAAGGGUUCAGAGAACUUUAAACACUCCACAGAAUGAGGAGCAGUUACAAUUAGAUUCAACAAUGAAACGGAUCCUUUCUUGUUGCUGAAAGAAUUCACAAAGAAGCUGGCUCCCCCCAUGGCCCACACCUUCCUGCCCCAGCUGUUGGCGUGAGAGGCUGAGGUCUACAGCACCUGCAGCUCCCAGUGAGAAGAAACCCAAGAGCCAUGGAGCUGCUGCAUCUUGGGAUUCCCUCCAGGCUGCUUGACAUGGGAGACAAGGCAUAUCUUCACAGUUGAAGCCACUUUAUAAUCUACUGCUCCACUGGCAAGGGAACCAGGGUUAAAGUAACACUGGUAAUAUCUGCCAUUGAAAGGAACAUUACAGUUCAUGCAGCACUUUAUAUGCACGGAUGUUACUCGAUCUUCACAAAAGACAAGAGGGAAGCUCCUGGAUGGAAGGAAGGAAAGAUGACAAAGUGUAAAGCAAGGAUUGGCAGUCUUCCCGAAGCACGAGGCCAACUGGCUUCCCAAGCGGGCAGGCACGUGUGGAUCCAGCCCGGAAGAGACGGGUCAUGGGGAUUGGACCAGAGAGAGGAGUGUCGGGAGCAGGGCAGGCUCCGUCUG